Molecule: small nuclear RNA, 21 nt
Filed under: Arabidopsis thaliana (thale cress)
Lineage: Eukaryota; Viridiplantae; Streptophyta; Magnoliopsida; Brassicales; Brassicaceae
Description: snRNA_08870
Source: RNAcentral
UCCAACCUACCUGGUAAUAGG